UACGUAGGGUGCAAGCGUUGUCCGGAAUUAUUGGGCGUAAAGAGCUCGUAGGCGGUUUGUCGCGUCUGCUGUGAAAACCCGGGGCUCAACCCCGGGCCUGCAUUCGAUACGGGCAGACUAGAGUUCGGUAGGGGAGUCUGGAAUUCCUGGUGUAGCGGUGAAAUGCGCAGAUAUCGGGAGGAACACCAAUUGCGAAGGCAGCUCGCUGGGACGUUACUGACGCUGAGACGCGAAAGCGUGGGGAGCAAACAGG
RNAcentral lists this ribosomal RNA (253 nucleotides) under uncultured bacterium. RNAcentral's name for it is "partial 16S ribosomal RNA". It matches the Rfam family "Bacterial small subunit ribosomal RNA", at positions 524 to 776 of the family's 1533-position model. The record is from RNAcentral.